This 497-nucleotide ribosomal RNA is filed under the name uncultured bacterium. RNAcentral's name for it is "partial 16S ribosomal RNA". It matches the Rfam family "Bacterial small subunit ribosomal RNA", at positions 28 to 507 of the family's 1533-position model. The record is from RNAcentral.
GAUGAACGCUGGCGGCGUGCCUAAUACAUGCAAGUCGAGCGAACAGACGAGGAGCUUGCUCCUCUGACGUUAGCGGCGGACGGGUGAGUAACACGUGGAUAACCUACCUAUAAGACUGGGAUAACUUCGGGAAACCGGAGCUAAUACCGGAUAACAUGUUGAACCGCAUGGUUCAACAGUGAAAGACGGUUUUGCUGUCACUUAUAGAUGGAUCCGCGUCGCAUUAGCUAGUUGGUAAGGUAACGGCUUACCAAGGCAACGAUGCGUAGCCGACCUGAGAGGGGGAUCGGCCACACUGGAACUGAGACCCCGUCCAGACUCCUACGGGAGGCCGCAGUAGGGAAUCUUCCGCAAUGGGCGGAAACCUGACGGAGCAACGGCGCGUGAGUGAAGAAGGUCUUCCGAUCGUAAAACCCUUUUAUUAGGGAAGAACCAAUGUGUAAGUAACCAUGCCCGUCUUGACGGUAACUAAUCAGAAAGCCACGGCUAACUACGUG